AUGGAGUUCUUGUCGCAGAUGUGGUCGCUCCUGGGCCUCCUCACCAUCCUGCAGAACGUCCUCCCCACGCAGCUCCUCUCCCUCCUCCACUCGCUCUGGCAGUCGCUCCAGGACUCGCUCACGCCCUACUCCUACUUCGACGUGCCCGAGUUCCUCGGCUCCGCCGCCGUCGAGCCCAACGCGCUCUACCGCCACGUCCAGCUCUACCUCCACCGCUCCCUUCUCCUCUCCUCCCCUUCGCCUCCCCGCCUCACGCUCUCGCUGCCGCGCUCCGUCGCGGGCAAUGCCGGCGCGGCCGCCGCGUCGCCGUCCGUGUCGCUGUCCCCGAACCACUCGGUGCCCGACGCCUUCAACGGCCACCGCGCCGUGUGGACGCACCACGCCGACACGCUCCAGGACUCGCUCGAGGAGCGCCGGUCCUUCUCGCUGCGCCUCCCCAAGAGGCACGCCGCGGCGGUGCUCCCGGCGUACCUGGCGCACCUCGCCGCCGCCGCGGACAGCCUGGAGCGCUCGUCGCGGGCGAGGAGGCUGCACACCAACGCCGCGUCUCCGCGCGGCUCGGCGUCGUGGUCGUCGGUGCCGUUCUGCCACCCGUCCACGUUCGAGACGCUCGCGCUGGACCCGGACCUCAAGGCGCGCCUCCUGGCCGACCUCACGGCGUUCGCCGACGGGAGGGAGUUCUACCGCCGGACUGGGAGGCCGUGGAAGCGCGGGUACCUCCUCCACGGCCCGCCUGGCUCCGGCAAGUCUUCGCUGAUCGCCGCCAUGGCGAACCACCUCCGGUACGACGUGUUCGACCUCGAGCUCACCCGCGUCACCACCAACGCCGACCUCCGCGCGCUCCUCAUCCAGACGACCAACCGCUCGCUCAUUGUCAUCGAGGACAUCGACUGCUCCCUCCACCUCACCGGCGACCGCGGCCUGGCCUCCACGAGGCGGCACAAGAGACGCCGCGCGGCCGCCUCCGAUGACUCGUCCGACUCGGACGACGACGUCAUGGGCGCCGACAACCACCGGGGGAAGGUGACCCUCUCCGGGCUGCUCAACUUCACCGACGGCCUGUGGUCGUGCUGCGGCGAGGAGCGCAUCAUCGUGUUCACGACGAACCACGUGGACGGCAUCGACCCGGCGCUGCUGCGGCCGGGGAGGAUGGACGUGCACGUGCGCCUGGGCCCGUGCGGCGCGCACGCUAUGCGCGAGCUGGUGGAGCGGUACGUGGGCGCCGGCGUCGGCGACCAGGACAUGCUCGACGCGGCGGAGGGCUGCAUACGGGAGGGCGCGGAGAUGACGCCGGCCGAGGUGGGCGAAGUGCUGCUGAGGAACAGAGACGAGCCGGAGACGGCGGUGACGGAGCUGGCGGGCGAGCUGAAGGCCAGGGUGAACGCGGCCGACGAUCUCCAGUGGGAGGACUCGGCGGCGGAGCUCUCCGACGAGUCGCCGACGAAGAAAGGCAGGAAGGGGUUCGGCGGGUGGGAGGGCAAGGUCAGGAUCUUGGGGAGGCUUCGGAGCCUCACCAAGUCGGACUCCGGCCGGAGAGGCGUGUAG
RNAcentral lists this ribosomal RNA (1545 nucleotides) under Triticum aestivum (bread wheat). RNAcentral describes it as "partial small subunit ribosomal RNA". The record is from RNAcentral. Lineage: Eukaryota; Viridiplantae; Streptophyta; Magnoliopsida; Poales; Poaceae.